RNAcentral lists this ribosomal RNA (480 nucleotides) under uncultured bacterium. RNAcentral describes it as "bacterial SSU rRNA". It matches the Rfam family "Bacterial small subunit ribosomal RNA", at positions 31 to 507 of the family's 1533-position model. The record is from RNAcentral.
GAACGCUGGCGGCAUGCCUUACACAUGCAAGUCGAACGGCAGCACGGGAGCAAUCCUGGUGGCGAGUGGCGAACGGGUGAGUAAUAUAUCGGAACGUGCCCAGUCGUGGGGGAUAACGUAGCGAAAGCUACGCUAAUACCGCAUACGAUCUAUGGAUGAAAGCGGGGAUCGCAAGACCUCGCGCGAUUGGAGCGGCCGAUAUCAGAUUAGGUAGUUGGUGAGGUAAAGGCUCACCAAGCCGACGAUCUGUAGCUGGUCUGAGAGGACGACCAGCCACACUGGGACUGAGACACGGCCCAGACUCCUACGGGAGGCAGCAGUGGGGAAUUUUGGACAAUGGGCGCAAGCCUGAUCCAGCAAUGCCGCGUGCAGGAUGAAGGCCUUCGGGUUGUAAACUGCUUUUGUACGGAACGAAACGGUGAGCUCUAAUACAGUUUGCUAAUGACGGUACCGUAAGAAUAAGCACCGGCUAACUACGUG